Molecule: ribosomal RNA, 254 nt
Filed under: uncultured bacterium
Lineage: Bacteria
Description: partial 16S ribosomal RNA
Rfam family: Bacterial small subunit ribosomal RNA
Source: RNAcentral
CACGUAGGCACCAAGCGUUGUCCGGAUUUAUUGGGCGUAAAGAGCUCGUAGGCGGUCUGUCGCGUCGGUCGUGAAAACUUGGGGCUUAACCCUGAGCUUGCGGUCGAUACGGGCAUGACUGGAGUUCGGCAGGGGAGACUGGAAUUCCUGGUGUAGCGGUGAAAUGCGCAGAUAUCGGGAGGAACACCGGUGGCGAAGGCGGUUCUCUGGGCCUGUACUGACGCUGAGGAGCGAAAGCGUGGGGAGCGAACAGG